AGGAUUAACGCUGGCGGCGUGCCUGACACAUGCAAGUCGAACGAGGCCGCAAGGCCGAGUGGCGGACGGGUGAGUAACACGUGACCAACCAACCUCGAAGUUGGGAAUAGCUCUGCGAAAGUAGGGGUAAUACCGAAUGUGGCCCAGGGCGGGCAUCCGCCUUGGUCUAAAGAUUCAUCGCUUCGAGACGGGGUCGCGGCCUAUUAGCUUGUUGGUGAGGUAACGGCUCACCAAGGCGAUGAUGGGUAGCUGGUCUGAGAGGACGACCAGCCACACUGGGACUGAGACACGGCCCAGACUCCUACGGGAGGCAGCAGUGAGGAAUCUUCCGCAAUGGGCGAAAGCCUGACGGAGCAACGCCGCGUGUGGGAUGAAGGCUCUAGGGUUGUAAACCACUGUCGGAGGGGACGAUCGUGACGGUACCCUCCAAGAAAGCCCCGGCUAACUACGUGCUAGCAGCCGC
RNAcentral lists this ribosomal RNA (463 nucleotides) under uncultured bacterium. RNAcentral describes it as "SSU rRNA". It matches the Rfam family "Bacterial small subunit ribosomal RNA", at positions 26 to 518 of the family's 1533-position model. The record is from RNAcentral.